RNAcentral lists this ribosomal RNA (504 nucleotides) under Pseudomonas kilonensis. RNAcentral's name for it is "bacterial SSU rRNA". It matches the Rfam family "Bacterial small subunit ribosomal RNA", at positions 80 to 580 of the family's 1533-position model. The record is from RNAcentral. Lineage: Bacteria; Pseudomonadati; Pseudomonadota; Gammaproteobacteria; Pseudomonadales; Pseudomonadaceae.
UUGCACCUCUUGAGAGCGGCGGACGGGUGAGUAAUGCCUAGGAAUCUGCCUGGUAGUGGGGGAUAACGCUCGGAAACGGACGCUAAUACCGCAUACGUCCUACGGGAGAAAGCAGGGGACCUUCGGGCCUUGCGCUAUCAGAUGAGCCUAGGUCGGAUUAGCUAGUUGGUGAGGUAAUGGCUCACCAAGGCGACGAUCCGUAACUGGUCUGAGAGGAUGAUCAGUCACACUGGAACUGAGACACGGUCCAGACUCCUACGGGAGGCAGCAGUGGGGAAUAUUGGACAAUGGGCGAAAGCCUGAUCCAGCCAUGCCGCGUGUGUGAAGAAGGUCUUCGGAUUGUAAAGCACUUUAAGUUGGGAGGAAGGGCAUUAACCUAAUACGUUAGUGUUUUGACGUUACCGACAGAAUAAGCACCGGCUAACUCUGUGCCAGCAGCCGCGGUAAUACAGAGGGUGCAAGCGUUAAUCGGAAUUACUGGGCGUAAAGCGCGCGUAGGUGGUU